Molecule: ribosomal RNA, 445 nt
Filed under: uncultured bacterium
Lineage: Bacteria
Description: partial 16S ribosomal RNA
Rfam family: Bacterial small subunit ribosomal RNA
Source: RNAcentral
GUGAGGAAUAUUGGACAAUGGGCGCAAGCCUGAUCCAGCCAUGCCGCGUGCAGGAAGACGCAUCUAUGGUGUGUAAGCUGCUUUUGUACGGGAAGAAACACUCCCUCGUGAGGGAGCUUGACGGUACCGUAAGAAUAAGGAUCGGCUAACUCCGUGCCAGCAGCCGCGGUAAAACGGAGGAUCCAAGCGUUAUCCGGAAUCAUUGGGUUUAAAGGGUCCGUAGGCGGUUUAAUAAGUCAGUGGUGAAAGCCCAUCGCUCAACGAUGGAACGGCCAUUGAUACUGUUAGACUUGAAUUACAAGGAAGUAACUAGAAUAUGUAGUGUAGCGGUGAAAUGCUUAGAUAUUACAUGGAAUACCAAUUGCGAAGGCAGGUUACUACUUGUGGAUUGACGCUGAUGGACGAAAGCGUGGGGAGCGAACAGGAUUAGAUACCCCUGUAGUCC